This 464-nucleotide ribosomal RNA is filed under the name uncultured Caldisericum sp. RNAcentral's name for it is "bacterial SSU rRNA". It matches the Rfam family "Bacterial small subunit ribosomal RNA", at positions 338 to 795 of the family's 1533-position model. The record is from RNAcentral. Lineage: Bacteria; Pseudomonadati; Caldisericota; Caldisericia; Caldisericales; Caldisericaceae.
CCUACGGGCGGCUGCAGUGGGGAAUCAUGGUCAAUGGGCGAAAGCCUGAACCUGCGACGCCGCGUGAGUGAUGAAGGUCGUAAGAUCGUAAAACUCUUUUCAGGGAUCUUAAAGGCAGCGCUCUAACAUAGCGUCUGCUGUGACUAUCCCUGGAAUAAGCCCCAGCCAACUACGUGCCAGCAGCUGCGGUAAUACGUAGGGGGCGAGCGUUAUUCGGAAUUACUGGGUGUAAAGGGUAUGUAGGCGGCCUGACAAGUCGCGUGUCAAAGUCCAGCGCUCAACGCUGGGUUCGCACGCGAUACUGUCAGGCUUGAGGACUGGAGAGGUGAGCGGAAUUCCCGGUGUAGUGGUAAAAUACGUAGAUAUCGGGAGGAACACCAGCGGCGUAGGCGGCUCACUAGACAGUUUCUGACGCUAAGAUACGAAAGCGUGGGGAGCAAACAGGCUUAGAUACCCGAGUAGUC